AAGCAGUUUCUCCUGGGUCAUCCUGACCAUUCUGCUGUCCUGGAUAUUUGAGGGAAAGAUUAAAAACAAGGAGGUCUGGGAAUGACUGAAGGGAACUGACAGCAGUGCAGGAAGGAAGUUAUCACCAGAAUCUCAGAGAAGGAUGUUGACAGUGUAGGCCCAGGAUGAAGAAGAGGAGGAA
Carassius auratus (goldfish) is the source of this 181-nucleotide long non-coding RNA. RefSeq lists it as uncharacterized. The record is from RefSeq and is a predicted model, not a curated record. NCBI's taxonomy places the organism in Eukaryota, Metazoa, Chordata, Actinopteri, Cypriniformes, Cyprinidae. The transcript is spliced from 4 exons.